UUAUAGCCCCCGAUGUGCCCAGAGCCCUGUGAGGCUUUGGACACAAUCCCACACAAGAGCCCGAGCCCCACACUGCAGAGCCCUGGCUUUGGAGGGUGGGCUAUUUGGGGCACAAGCCAUGGGCCAGAUGGACGCAGCCAGAGGGUUGUGGCUUUUGGCUUUGGUUACCAAUGGAUCAGACUUUUUCCCCCAGAAAUGAAAGAUCAUAGAAUCUUUGUGUCCAGGAGGCUGAGGCCUACUCACCUGACUUGUGGAACAGUAACCCUACUAGAAUUUUCUAAAGCAUCUAACAUCUUUCUCAUUGCACUUAAGAGCCCAGAGUGGUCUGCAGAUGCAACAGAGGUCUAAUUAAGACACGGAAAAAUUAAUGGAAAUAUCCUUUCAGUCCUCUUGGAAAAAUACCUAAGUUCUAAAAUAAAUGCUGAAGAGAUAUGAUAAG
Vidua macroura (Pin-tailed whydah) is the source of this 439-nucleotide long non-coding RNA. RefSeq lists it as uncharacterized. The transcript is spliced from 4 exons. The record is from RefSeq and is a predicted model, not a curated record. NCBI's taxonomy places the organism in Eukaryota, Metazoa, Chordata, Aves, Passeriformes, Viduidae.